GCAGGGAAUAUUGCACAAUGGGCGAAAGCCUGAUGCAGCAACGCCGCGUGAGGGAUGAAGGUCUUCGGAUUGUAAACCUCUUUUACAGGGGACGAGUGAGGACGGUACCCUGUGAAUAAGCAACGGCUAACUACGUGCCAGCAGCCGCGGUAAUACGUAGGUUGCGAGCGUUAUUCGGAUUUACUGGGCGUAAAGAGCACCGAGGUGGCUUCUUAAGUUGGAUGUGAAAUCUCCUGGCUUAACCGGGAGGCGCCAUUCAAAACUGGGGAGCUUGAGGUCAGCAGGGGAAGGUGGAAUUCCCGGUGUAGUGGUGGAAUGCGUAGAGAUCGGGAGGAACACCAGUGGCGAAAGCGACCUUCUGGGCUGCACCUGACACUCUAGUGCGAAAGCGUGGGGAGCAAACAGGAUUAGAUACCCGGGUAGUCC
RNAcentral lists this ribosomal RNA (426 nucleotides) under uncultured bacterium. RNAcentral's name for it is "bacterial SSU rRNA". It matches the Rfam family "Bacterial small subunit ribosomal RNA", at positions 354 to 796 of the family's 1533-position model. The record is from RNAcentral.